This 529-nucleotide ribosomal RNA is filed under the name uncultured bacterium. RNAcentral's name for it is "bacterial SSU rRNA". It matches the Rfam family "Bacterial small subunit ribosomal RNA", at positions 8 to 518 of the family's 1533-position model. The record is from RNAcentral.
AGAGUUGAUUAUGGCUCAGAACGAACGCUGGCAGCGUGGAUUAGGCAUGCAAGUCGAACGGGAUCCGGAAGGUAGCAAUAUCGGCCGGUGAGAGUGGCGGAAGGGCGAGGAGCACGUGGACAACCUGUCCAGAGGACGGGGAAAACCUCGGGAAACUGAGGCUAAUACCCGAUGCGCCGGGAGUUGGGCAUCCAUCUUCCGGCAAAGGGGGCGAGAGCUCCCGCCUCACGAAGGGUCCGCGCACCAUCAGCUUGUUGGCGGGGUGACGGCCCACCAAGGCUCACGGUUAGCUGGUCUGAGAGGAUGACCAGCCGCACUGGGACUGAGAUACUGCCCAGACUCCUACGGGAGGCUGCAGUCGAGGAUCAUUCGCAAUGGGGGAAACCCUGACGAUGCGACGCUGCGUGGAGGAUGGAGGCCUUCGGGUUGUAAACUCCUGUCAUGGGGGAAGAGGCGGAGGGACCCAACACGUCCCCGAGUUGACGGUACCCCAAGAGGAAGCGACGGCUAACUCUGUGCCAGCCGCGGC